UUUUUUUCUUUGCCUUUUUUUUUUUUUUUUCCCCGUCUCCUGAGCAGAUUCUGCUGCAGCUCAGCUUUGGGUGGAGGCUGGGGGUUAUCUCGGAGCUUCACAAGCCUCGCUGUGCUCUGCGGGGAGUUGCAGCUCGUGCUCACUGCAGACCCAGAGUAGGUGAGCCAGGAAAGCCUGGCUUGAGCAACCACUUCAGAGGGCAGGACAGGGAGGAAAAGCAAACACUGUAGAGAGGUGGCCUCCCUGGUAAGGCUAGAGCAGGACCGUCCUGCGGACCCUGAGGGAGGGAGAAGGUAAGUGGCUGCUUGGCAGAGGCUGCCUGCGGGAGCGGCAUGUGCCGGGCAGGGCGCGCCCUGCCCGCAGUUCCUGCGGCUCAGAACCAGCCGCUCCGUGGGUUUGUACAGCCUGUGCUGUGGUAUGUGCCGAGGCUCAGGGCUGUUCCCCUGCGAGGGAGAGCACUGGGUGCUGCCGCGAAGGAGGCACCGCAGCCCCGCGCCUUUCGCAACGACUGCGCUCAUCGCUCCAUUCCUCGCUCCCCCCCUCGCUCCUCACCGGGUCAGGCUCUGUCGAGAACAAGCGACAAACCGUCCGCACAAAACAGAACACGUUUCCAUGGAGGGGGAAAAAAAUACCAACAAAACCAACCAACAAAAGCGUUUCCGCAGUGCCAGGCUGGCUCUGAAGCGCUGCCUUCAGCGCUGUGAGCCCCGUCGGGGGCUCCCGGGCCGGGGCCGCCCGAGCCGCUGGAGCCAGCGCUGAGCCUGGGUCACAGCGGCUCUCAGUGACCAUCUGCCAGCAAAAUCGGAAGGAACGGUGACGUUAUUCUUAGCAGAACACCAUUAAAAUGCUCCUCUGGUAUUUCUCAAUAGAGGUGAAAAGCAUUUCAGCUUCCUGGAAAUGGCCGAAGCUGGCGACGUGUAGAUCAAAGUACGGCGCAGAGCUGGGCUCGGCUUUGCAGGGGGGUUUGAACUGUAGUGAAAACGUUUCUGCAGCUUGCAUCGUAGUGAGUUAAGUCAGCACGUGAAGCGAUUAAAAAAAAAAAAGCAAGUUUUAAACGGCAUCGGGCUAUUAACUUUCCUGGGAUUUAAAAUUUAUGUUUAAAUAUAUAUUUGGCUGUUAGCAAUACCUGCAUUUACGAGUAACAAUUGGUCUGUUUAACCCUGAAGCAAACCAGCUCUGCCUAACGCAAGGCUUUGAAGCGACACAGCCAGACCAUAAUACUGUGGGAGCUUAGACAGCUUUGUCUGUACUUGCAUCUCUCUGCAUAUUUUUCCAGGACUCUGAUCUUUGUCUGCGAUUAAUCAUUGUCCAGGACGGCUGUUCCCGAUGGUAGGAUCCAUGAAGUGCUCCAGCUGGGAGAGGUCCUAACGCCUGUGCCUGGCUCUGCGUACGUGCAAACCAGGGCCAGAAAUUGCUGGGGCAGCGGGGGUUGGACAGCGAGCCCGCCGUGCCCCCCCAGUGAAUUGUAUGGGUCCUCAGCACUUCUGGAAAUGGUUUUUACUGCCUUGUACACAGAAUCCUUUAUAUUGAAGCUUUUCAAGUCACAAUCCAUUGCUUGUGCAAGGAAACUAGAUUAACAGAUUAUAAAAGACAAAAGAGACCAAGGUUCAUCUGGUUCGACUUCCUGCAUUAUGUACGUCUCGGGAUUUUUGUGAAUUUGUUGCUUUUUCUCAUUUGAAAGAAUUUAACUGCAGCAUGCCUGCAUCUUAGAUAAAGGUCAGAUUUUCAUUUUAAAAUGGGCUGUGAGAGGGAGUAAAAUAAGAGGAAAUUUUUUCCAUCAAAAUCUACCUGCCAGACUAGAAAUCAAAGUACCUUUUUAAACUUGUCUAGUUUCUGUUUUCAGUUGCUGGAUGUCUCUGCCCUUCAGUCUGCUUGGUGGAGGAAUGCUCCAUGGGCAGAUUUUCAUCCCUGUGUAGCUGUGCUCAGGCUGAGCAUUUGAUACUCCAUUGCAGACUGCAGAGCUCCCCCUCGGGUCCGUCUUUACUAAUCCUGGAAUUGUUCCUGCCUGUGAACGCUACAGUUUGUCACCAUUUUGAUCUGGGCAGAAGGGGAUGGAGCCCUCAGCAGAGAUCAGACCCAAGCCAACAGCCCUCCUGGCUGAGCUGUCUCUGUCAGGAAUCCAGGGAUUACACCAGCCCAUGUUCAGCUGGUUUCCCAGCACGGCUCCUAAAAUACUCUCAGAUCUGCUCCUUCUUAGGAUGACAACCCUGUGCUGUAGGUUUGUGCUCUUUGUUCUGCAUGUAUGGCUUUACACUUGUUCCUCUUGCAAAGGACAAGCCCUUAACGUUCUUGCUUGCAAUGGCUUUUUUUAUUAUUUUUCUUAAUUACCCCCUCCUGCUACUGCAAAAUGUCACCUACCAAGUUGGUUGGUCGUGAUUUUGUAUUUUAUCCAGAUAAACAACUGGUUGUGUCUCCACUGUGGGUGUUUCCUGGUUCCGGGUGUGUGUACACACACCUGAGCUGUGUCAAUAUUGUGUCAGGAGGAGGUCUGGUUGUACAACAUCCCUUGCCACACCCCAGUUUCAUGGGAAGAAAGCCCAGCUUAGGAGCUGGAAGGGAGCCAGGAAGCACACUGCAACGUUUGCUUGCCGUGGUGUCUAUUAUGUAGCCAUUAAAUAACCUAAGGCCCAAAACAGGUGGUUGCAGACCCAUAAAGGAGAGGUGACGCCUCUAGGACACGGUGGUUACAAAGUGCAUUUUGAGACCUUCCUGUUAGAGGGCUUUUUUUAGAGGUGGUGCCUCUACUAUGUAUUCUCUACUCAGCUGUUCGUUCAAGACCUAAAUACAUUUGAGACUCCUUCCCCACUGCCAAAUUUGAUUGAGAUUGGAGGGGGGAAAUGACAUAGAACUACACAGUCACAUUAGACAGUUUUAUUUUUAGGGAACCAGGCUAAGAAUAUCGAAGGAAUAUUGAGUAGGAAUAUGGACGUGGUAUUUGCCUGUUCAGUUUUUCUUGCCAUGAAAUUUUCCAUUUCUUCCUGAGAACAGCAGAUGAUCUGUCUAGGGAAUUGUCAGCCAAAAUAAGCAGCCUCCUGACAGAUUUCACCUGUGUCCCAGCAUGCUCUGAGGGUACAUGGGAUGUGAGCCUUGAACAAUGACAGGGAAUCACUACUUGGCUGUGUUGUUUGGCUGCUGGGGUACAGAGAUACGUGGUGAUACCCAACAGUGGAACAAACAUCUACUUUUUUUUUUUUGAUGGACAUGUUGGAUAUUUGCCAGAGAUGUUUUUUUUUUGUUACUUUUUAAGCUAGAUCUGUUCAUUUUAUACCUGUUAGUAUUAUGACAAAGCCACCUCUGUAAGGUAGGGAGUGAGUGCUUUCAGAGAUCUAAUCGUUCUUGAGCUAUAAAGGAAUAAAGAAGCUGUUUCAACACCUGACUUGCAGAAUGUUUUGUGUUGCUUCUUGCCCAUUGAAAUGCAGCUGCUAUUGAAACACUGUGAUCCCAUCAGGAUGUAGAACCGGUUAUUUUUUAGAAUGCUUUCAAGCUUAUAAAAAUCAUGAAAUAAAUCAAGAAGGUUGGCAAUUCUAAUCAGCAUUCUAAAGCCAUCAGAUCACAAAACAGUUCAGUGCUUCAUGGCCUCUGAACAGUACAGUUUUACAAAAAAAAAAAAAAAAAAGAAAAAGAGAAGGAAUGAAAAGAAUGUACCAUUUAGAGAAGCUGGGUGCUUACAAAGCUUGCAUCAAAAGGAAAUGAAGAUACAAAUAAGUAAUCUAAAAGGAUAUUUAUGCAUUAAAUUACUUGUGUCUCUGGACACAUCAUUAAACAGUCUGGAUGUGAUGGUAGCUGGGGACCUGGAAGCCUUUUUAACACAUGCAGCACAUACAGGGAAUGUUCUGAUUACAAGUGAUGGAGUAUAAAAUGUUUUAGCCAGAAACUGAUGACAAAGAUCAAAUGGAAUGAGUUGAGCUUACAAAUCAGAGCAGCUUCUUCUCGCUGGUGUGAUGUGACACAAGACCAAGACUGUUUUGCCCUUGACAUUGUCACCAUUGCUCUCUAACCUGCAGUUAAGGAUUUGCAUCUUUAUUUAUUGUCUGACAGGGCAGUUGGGAGUGCCCCAGCUGCUCCCCAAGCCCUGGUUUGCAGCAGAGUGGGCCAGAACGGGCAGGAUCAGGGAAGGUGUGCCAUCCAUCGCCUUUCUGUGCCGCUGCAUCACGGCAGCUCCCAGUUGCUAAGCAGCUGCAGAGCUGUCUCUGUACAAGGGGAGCAACAUGGGUUCCCCUUGAUCAGUGGAGAGGAGCCGGCAGCAUGGAAACGGGAGCAGUGACCGUAGGAACAUCAUUCCUUUCCUGGCUGGCUCCGAUGCCGAGUGGAGCGAAGGGACACUCGGUGGCCCAGGAGCAGGGGGGGGGGCAGUAGGGGAGGGCAGAGCCAGCAUAUGUGCACAGCAGAGGUUACAAAGACAGCAGAUCCUGGCAGAGCAGGGGGCACACACCAAGGAGAAAGGAAUGGGAGAGAGGCCAAAUGCACAGUUCGGAAUAAAAAAACCCCAGGAGGAGAGUGUGGCAUAUGGAGAGGGGAAAUAAAGCAGAACUUGCACAGCCUGCGAAUAAUUGAAUAGAAAAUACAGGAAGAGGGAAGGAGCUUGAUUCAUUACUGCCCUUCAUCUUGUGGAGACAGCUACACCCGGGAAGAGGAGGUGUGGAAUACAACGGCAUCCUUCAUGUUUCACAGUGAACUGUAGGUUUUACAUUUCAACCCCUGCCAUUUGUGGUUUUCUCCUUUCACAGCCCCUGCCUUUUGUUCAGACUUGAUUCCUGCAGGCUCCAUUCUUAUCUUUGUCUACUUUCUGAUUUAUUUUUGUACUUGCUUUAGUUUUUUUGGGGGGGUUUUUUUUUUUUUUUAAGGUAAGUUUUAAAUUAAGAUACCCUUUCCAGAUAUUUUUGCUGUUUUCACCUUCGUGAGGGCAGGCCAUCGCUAGCUCCUAACUGAAGUUGGUUUCUACUAAAUCCACAAAGCCAUCGCUGCUUUUCUCCCCUUCUCUCUCCUGGGAGCUGCUGAUGGAGAACAGGGUUCUCUUUGCUUCCCGACACCUUCCCCUGCUCGUUGUCUUUCCCUUUCCCUGCUCAGUGCCUGCCAGCAGUCCGGAAAGGCUCGUGGCUCGCAGCGUGCAGGAAGCGGUUCCUGUGGCAGUAAAUUAUCACGAACGCCUGACGUGUUGCAUAAAGGGGAGUACAAAAGUGUCACGAACAUCUGGGGAGGGGGGUUGUGACCAAAGGAGAGCCUUGGUUCCACCACAGCUCCGCUGCCCACAUGAAAAAGCACUUUGUGGUGUCGGCUCCUCACAUGCAGUUGGUGUGUAAUAGGAAAUGCCAGUGGAGCUGGCAGGGAGGGAGGGGAGCUGGACAUUCCUCCCUCUGGCUCCUCCAGGCAGAGGACUGAGGGGCGUGUUUGGGAGGGUGGGGAGAGGAAUUUAAAUUCCCGCAGCUGUUGCUCUCCUCUAUGACCAGCCCUGGCUUGCUUGGAGGCCUUUUGACUGAGAACACUUUUCCCCAGGUCCAAAAUUGAGUCCUAAAAGGAAAAUGGAGGUGCCCACCCAGAUCUGCAGUGGAAAGGAGUUGCUGUGAGCUCUGUGUGUGUGUGUGUGUGUGAAAUUCAAGCCAAUAAAAUACUUGACAAAUA
Long non-coding RNA from Lepidothrix coronata (blue-crowned manakin), 5619 nucleotides. RefSeq lists it as uncharacterized. The record is from RefSeq and is a predicted model, not a curated record. The transcript has 2 exons. Lineage: Eukaryota; Metazoa; Chordata; Aves; Passeriformes; Pipridae.